Myotis lucifugus (little brown bat) is the source of this 105-nucleotide small nuclear RNA. The record is from Ensembl. Lineage: Eukaryota; Metazoa; Chordata; Mammalia; Chiroptera; Vespertilionidae.
GUGCUUGCUUUGCCAGUGCAUAUAAUAAAUGCAACAACACAGAGAAGAAUAGCAUGGCUCCUGGGCAAGGAUGACUUGCAAAUUCAUGAAGCAUUCCAUCAUUUU